RNAcentral lists this ribosomal RNA (406 nucleotides) under uncultured bacterium. Its description in RNAcentral is "partial 16S ribosomal RNA". It matches the Rfam family "Bacterial small subunit ribosomal RNA", at positions 30 to 526 of the family's 1533-position model. The record is from RNAcentral.
AUUGAACGCUGGCGGCAGGCCUAACACAUGCAAGUCGAACGAGUGGCGGACGGGUGAGUAAUGUCUGAGAAACUGCCUGAUGGAGGGGGAUAACUACUGGAAACGGUAGCUAAUACCGCAUACCAUCAGAUGUGCCCAGAUGGGCUUAGCUUGUUGGUGGGGUAACGGAUCACCAAGGCGACGAUCCCUAGCUGGGCUGAGAGGAUGACCGGCCACAUUGGAACUGCGACACGGUCCAUACGCCUACGGUAGGCAGCAGUGGGGAAUAUUGCACAAUGGGCGAAAGCCUGAUGCAGCCAUGCCGCGUGUAUGAAGAAGGCCUUCGGGUUGUAAAGUACUUUCAUCGGGGAGGCGUUACCCGCAGAAGAAGCACCGGCUAACUACGUGCCAGCAGCCGCGGUAAUUC